CGCGGGGUGGAGCAGUGGUAGCUUGUCGGGCUCAUAACCCGAAGGUCAGAGGUUCGAAUCCUCUCCCCGCUACCA
Molecule: transfer RNA, 75 nt
Filed under: bacterium
Lineage: Bacteria
Also listed under: 1 other name
Description: tRNA-Met
Rfam family: tRNA
About the family: Transfer RNA (tRNA) molecules are approximately 80 nucleotides in length. Their secondary structure includes four short double-helical elements and three loops (D, anti-codon, and T loops).
Source: RNAcentral